ACUCCUACGGGAGGCAGCAGUGGGGAAUUUUGGACAAUGGGGGCAACCCUGAUCCAGCCAUUCCGCGUGAGUGAAGAAGGCCUUCGGGUUGUAAAGCUCUUUCAGCUGGAACGAAACGGUUCGCUCUAACAUAGCGGGCUAAUGACGGUACCAGCAGAAGAAGCACCGGCUAACUACGUGCCAGCAGCCGCGGUAAUACGUAGGGUGCGAGCGUUAAUCGGAAUUACUGGGCGUAAAGCGUGCG
RNAcentral lists this ribosomal RNA (244 nucleotides) under uncultured bacterium. Its description in RNAcentral is "partial 16S ribosomal RNA". It matches the Rfam family "Bacterial small subunit ribosomal RNA", at positions 335 to 571 of the family's 1533-position model. The record is from RNAcentral.